This 589-nucleotide long non-coding RNA is filed under the name Setaria viridis. RNAcentral's name for it is "long non-coding RNA (SVIR_LNC006633)". The record is from RNAcentral. Lineage: Eukaryota; Viridiplantae; Streptophyta; Magnoliopsida; Poales; Poaceae.
GAUCAUGUAUUGCUUCAACACUUUCGGUUCAGACUUUCUGAGGAUGCUGGCCUGCAGCUCGAUGCCCUCUCCGAAAGCUCAUUUUGCUUAAGGAUUCGAUAGAAGGGAAGGAAAUCUUGGAUCAUAUCCGAGAGACUACUCCCUCGGUCGAUUGGCAUAGCAAUGCCCUGAUAGAAGGAGAGUGUAUUGAGCAACCGAGGUCUUUCAUUAGCAAAGUUUGAACUUUCAUCUCGACUAUCUUUGAACAUCUACUGACGAUGCCUCUCCUGAACCGUAGGAUUCUAGGGGAUAGAGCACGACGUGCGAAUCCUACCCCCGGAUCCCCUUACGGUAUUUUAUUCUGAAUUUUCCCUCCAAAUUAUAUCUCGAGGGAGGUUGAGGAAGGAGUGGUUGAAAGAAGAGGAUCAUUCUUAAUGACUCGUCUGUUUCAACCAUGACUUCUCGGAAGAGGUACCAUAGGAAGCCCAUCAUGUUCCCGUGUCAAGGUAACAUACAAGGUGUUUCGUAUACACUAAGGAAUAUGCCUCAACAUUGACCACCAUAUCAUAGUCCAUAGAGCUUAUCCUUUUAGGUCAAGGGUUCAUAGGGG